Cricetulus griseus (Chinese hamster) is the source of this 2280-nucleotide non-coding RNA. The record is from RefSeq and is a predicted model, not a curated record. NCBI's taxonomy places the organism in Eukaryota, Metazoa, Chordata, Mammalia, Rodentia, Cricetidae.
AGAAGCAAGGCAUGCGCCAAGACUGCCCUCGCGAGGCAUCCCUAGCCUCUCUCACAAGCCCAGACCACACAUUAGGUUCCAUGGCACAAACCCAACUCCCAGAAGGAGGACUUGUGUAGAUACAGAGUUUUAUAGAGGCGUCUCAAGCUGUUUCUCGUCAACAGUUUUUUGUUUGUUUGUUUGUUUGUUUUUAGUCUUAAAUAAUUUAUGAUAGCAACAAUUUUUUUUAACAAUUAGCUUAUAAUGAGGUAGAGUCAGCCGCAGCCAGGCUGCUGUCAAUUCUUCUUAAAUAGAUUAUUCAGUAGUUUCUUUUUAUACAGUUUCUCGGUUAUAAUUGUUAUUUCUUAUAACAUUUAGCACAAAAGGUCAGGUAUAGUUAGCAAUUUGGGUAAGAGGUAGAAGCGGCUUGAGCCAGGCUGCUGUAAAAUCUUCGACGGUUUCUCGGCGAUAGUAUUUCUCAGUCUUAAUCAAGUUCAGAACAACAGAGCUUGCUUAACAGUUUGGGUAGAGUGAGGCAGAGCCUGCUUUGGUCCCUGGGCUGUCAUCAUUUAGUCUAGAGGUGGAGCUCUGCUGCACUGGCUGCCCCAUGGCUAGCCAUGUGUCUAAGGCUGUUGGCAAACUCCAGAAGAAAACGAUUUAAUUAUAUCGUUUGAAAGCCUGAAAUCAAGCCUUGCUGCCCAAAAUAAACCGGCGAAGUCGCACAACUUCACCCCCUAUGUAUCAGACAGCGAAUUCGGGAACCAGCCGCACCUGAGGCUGACUGAUUGAGCAAACAGCUUGCCUUCUGAAAGACAACCUGCACCUGCUAGGCUAAGCAAUGAAAGGACUUGGCUUUCAAAUGGCAACUGCAGGCAAAAACCGAGUUUAAACAGCAACUGUGUCAAAUCUCUGUGAAGACCGGGUUUCCGAUUUAGGAGCCUGAGCUGCAGUAGAAACUGUCAAUCUCCUGAUGAAACAGUCACCUGCAGCUUGUUGUAGGUUCUGAGGAGAUCUAAAACAAUGCAGACACACAAGAGUUCACUUAAAGUAAGGUUUUUAUUGAAUUGGUAGUGAGGGUGACCAGUCAGGGACCAUAGUACAGACUCGGGAGCUGACUGAAGGUCAGAAUGCUUACUCAGGAGCAGGAAAAGCACAAACGUAUGUGCCAACCCACACAAGAUACUAGUUUGGCAAUAUAACUAAACAGAUAUAUUUGUUCUUUGUGGAUAGAAACAGAAAGAAUGUCUUGGGGAACUAAAGUUGAAUAACAGGCUGGUUUUAGUACCUAGGAGGAAGUUCACCCCUAGUGGAAAGUCCCACUCCCCAGAGUCUGGAAAGGUCCACCUCCCCUGGGGUCUGUGACUUUGAAUGUUGUUUUACCUCCCACUUAAAUGGAGUCUGGAAACAAGAUGGCAGUACUUAGGGCAAUUUCCUUUUGCUUAAUCCCAACAUAGUGGAUUGUAUUAUAUGCUUCAUUUGAUUAUUCCACUUCUUUAUCUCCUUGCUUUCAUGUUGUAACUGUGAGACACUAUGUCAGUUUAUUUCCCUGUUUCAAAUGAUCUCAUCAUCACAUUUCAUUUCAUCAUGUAAACUAUGACUGAAAAUCAGCCAGAAGUCCUUUCAACUGCUAGUGUAACCUGAGCUUUAAGGGGAAAGUUCCAGUUUCCAGCAGACUCACAGGCUCAUCUCAGUCACUUAGACAACAUGCCAAUGAAGGAGGCAGGGGAUUGGCCCUGGGCAAAGCCAUGAGUUCUCAUCAGUGUGGCCAUACUGUUCUGAAAUUCAUGACCCGAUGGAUUGAAGACAAUGACUGAUGUCUCAUCCUGUCUCUGCUCCUAUAUGAAGCUAAACAGGUAACCCAAAAUAAAAUAAAUAAAUGAAAUAAAUAAAAGAGCAUUAUGAGAAGGGGAGACUGAAGAGAGGUUAGGAGGGUUUGCUGAUUGUCGGGGUCCAUAAAGAUGACUCCACUGCUGAUUAAAGGCCAGAGAGUUCAAAACUGCCCUUUGUAAGUCAUAAGACACAAAGGCCAAAGGUGUGGCUACAGUAGGAUGGUUGAUCUUGGCCUUGGGUGUCUUAUCUAAAUAACAACAGACUAGUUCUGAGGUGUGUUUUAUUCUAAACCAUCAAGGCCAGAAAUAGCAUAUAAGGUGUGGUUACCAAAUCCUUGGAGAUUUGGGGAAGAGAAGUCUGCUUGCUCCUUAUACUUCAUUCCAUGUUCCUCUUUUAUUUAAGAGUUAUUUAAGAGUGGUGAAAAAUAAACUCAUAGCAUUCAGUAAUGACUGAAUUGCCCUCCUGAUUUUA